AAGUUAAAAAAGGCAUUAAGAGGAUACCUUAACAUUAAAAAUUUUAUGCGGGCGUUGACUACGAUAUGUAUAACGAGUAAUAAAAAUUACUGAGACUUGUACAUUCCCGCAAACAGAAAACUGAUCUUUUUAUUUAAGAUGCAUUUAAUAAAAUAAAUGCUUUAAAUUUAGUGAAUUGAAACAUCUUAGUAACUAAAUAAAAAAUCAAUAGAGGUACUGUAAGUAGUGGCGAACGAAAGCGGUAUAAAAGACUUAUUGUAUUUUUAAUUAUUUUGUUUAAUUAUAUUUUUCCAUAGAAGGUUUAAGUCCUGUAAAACAUUAUAUUAAAAUACAGUUUAAGUAAAACGAUAUCCUGUCAUGUAUUGUUUGAAUAUUGGGGAACCACCCUCAAAGUCUUAAAAUUUUUAAUGAUUGAUAGUGAACAAGUACCGUGAGGGAAAGGUGAAAUAGAUUUUUUAUAUUUUGAAAAAGAUAUUGAAACUUAAUGCUAACAAGCAGUUGAGGCUUUUUUAAAGUUACAACGUACCUUUUGCAUAAUGGAUCAACGAGUUUAUUUUAGUGGCAAGCUUAAACUAUUAUAAGUGUAGGCGUAAAGAAAUUAAGUUAUAAAAUUUGCAUAUUUAGUCUCUAAAAUAAAACCCGAAACUAAGUGAUCUAACCAUGAACAGGUUGAAUUUAUUGCGGUAACGCGUAUUGGAGGACCGAACUCGUGUAUGUGGAAAAAUACUGAGAUGAUUUGUGGUUAGGGGUGAAAGGCCAAUCAAACUUAGAUAUAGCUGGUUUUCUGCGAAAUCUAUUUAAGUAGAGCAUUUUAAUAACUUUAUUUUAAGGUAGAGCACUUAAUAAGUAAUGGGAACGUAAAGUUUUACUGAAUUUAAUAAAACUCCGAAUAUAAAAUAAAAGAAUUAAAAUAGACAGACUAUAAAUGCUAAGAUUUUUAGUCAAAAGGGAAACAGCCCAGACUAUUAGUUAAGGUCCUUAAAAAUAAUUAAGUGAAAAAGAUAGUAAAAAAAUAAUAACAAUUAGUAGGUGGGCUUGGAAGCAGCCAUCCUUUAAAGAAAGCGUAACAGCUCACUAGUUUAAUUUUUUAGCAUCGAAAAUGUACAGGGACUUAAAUUAUUUACCGAAACUAUAGAUUAAAUAUAUUUGUUAUUUAAUGGUAGCAGAACGUUCUGUAUAUUUACGAAGAUUUAUAGUGAUAUAAAUUUGAGAAAUCAGAAUUGAAAAUGUUGAUAUGAGUAGCGACAAACAAUGUGAAAAACAUUGUCAUCUUAUGUUCAAGGUUUAUAAGGUAAAGCUAAUCUUCCUUAUAUCUAGAAUCGGCCCCUAAGAAAAAGACGAAAGUUUUAUUUUAAUGGGUUAUUAAAUUUUUUUUAAUAUUUAUUUUAAUGUGACAAAUUAUAAAUUUUAUUUGUAUUUUUUGGUUAAUAUAAGUAAUUUAAUAAUUUCGAGAAACAGCAUUAAUUAUUAUUUAAUUUAAAUUUUUUAUAUUAAAUUUAAAAAAACCGUACUGGAAACCGACACAGGUGAACAAAUUGAGUAAAUUAAGAUGAUUGAGAGAAUUAUAUUGAAGGAACUCGGCAAAAUGACUCCGUAACUUCGGGAGAAGGAGUAACUUUAUUAGGGCAACCUAAUAAAGUUGUCACAAAAUCGAGGACAGCGACUGUUUAUUAAAAACACAGGUCUCUGCAAAUUCGUAAGAAAAUGUAUAGAGACUGACGCCUGCCCAGUGCUGUAAGUGUAAUAAAAAAAGUAUAUGCUUUGAUUAGAAAACCCAGUAAACGGCGGCUGUAAUUCUGACGGUCCAAAGGUAGCGAAAUUCCUUGGCAUUUAAUUGGUGUCCUGCAUGAAUGGCGUAACGACUGUCCUACUGUCUCCAAUAUAAGCUCAGUGAAAUUGAAUUCUCCGUGAAGAUGCGGAGUACUUGCGGCUAGACGGAAAGACCCCGUGCACCUUUACUAUAGUUAAAUAUUGUAAUAAUAAAUUUUAUAUGUAGAAUAAGUGGUAAGUUUUUUAAAAUCAUUACACCAGUAAUUUAUCUAAAACGACAUGUGAAAUACCACUUUUAAAAUUUUUUUGUUACUCAUUCAAAGUUGAAAACAGUGUUUAAUGGGUAGUUUGACUGGGGCGGUCGCCUCCUAAAGAGUAACGGAGGCGCACUAAGGUAAGUUCAAAUCGAAAUAUAUCGAUUGUAGAGCGUAAUAGUAAAUACUUGCUUGACUGUAAGAUUGACAAAUCAAACAGGGACGAAAGUCGGUUAUAGUGAUCCGAUGAUUCUGUGUGGAAAAGGUCAUCGCUCAACGGAUAAAAGGUACGCCGGGGAUAACAGGCUAAUCACCCUCUAGAGACCCUAUCGACGGGGUGGUUUGGCACCUCGAUGUUGGAUUAUCACAUCCUGAAGCUGCAAAAGGUUUCAAGGGUUUGGCUGUUCGCCAAGUAACGUGGUACAUGAUCUGAGUUUAGAACGUCGUGAGACAGUUUGGUCCCUAUCUACCGCAAGCGCAAGAAAAUUAAGAGGAUUAAACCCUAGUACGAGAGGACCGGGAAAAGUAAAUCUAUGGUGAAUCGGUUGUUAUAUCAAUAGCAUAGCCGAGUAGCUAAAUUUAUAAUAGAUAAUCACAGAAAGCAUUUAAGUGAGAAACUAACCUCAAGAUAAUUUUUCAAAAAUACGUAAUAGAACAUUACGAAAUAGGUUUGGUGUGUAAGAAUUGCAAGAUUUUUAGCUAACAAAUACUAAUUUUUAUUUAAACUUUUUAAUACAAA
This 2763-nucleotide ribosomal RNA is filed under the name Guinardia delicatula. RNAcentral's name for it is "large subunit ribosomal RNA". It matches the Rfam family "Bacterial large subunit ribosomal RNA". The record is from RNAcentral. Lineage: Eukaryota; Bacillariophyta; Coscinodiscophyceae; Rhizosoleniales; Rhizosoleniaceae.